RNAcentral lists this unclassified non-coding RNA (249 nucleotides) under uncultured fungus. Its description in RNAcentral is "partial contains 18S rRNA, ITS1, 5.8S rRNA, ITS2 and 28S rRNA". The record is from RNAcentral. Lineage: Eukaryota; Fungi.
AAGGAUCAUUAUCGAAUGAACGUGGGGGUCUGGUUGUAGCUGGCCUGCAAAGGCAUGUGCACGCCGCCUCUUUCAUCCACACACACCCCUGUGCACCCGUGAGACGGAGGCUUAUUUUCUUCCCUUUUGUUUGGGGAGAGAUCGGUUUCCGUCUGCCGUUAUACAAAUUCAAUUGAUUUAAUUCGAAUGUAAUCGACGCAACGCGUCUAAUAAAUAUACAAAGUUUCAACAACGGAUCUCUUGGCUCUC